CAAAACUUUCAACAACGGAUCUCUUGGUUCUGGCAUCGAUGAAGAACGCAGCGAAAUGCGAUAAGUAAUGUGAAUUGCAGAAUUCAGUGAAUCAUCGAAUCUUUGAACGCACAUUGCGCCCCUCGGUAUUCCGGGGGGCAUGCCUGUUCGAGCGUCAU
This 158-nucleotide ribosomal RNA is filed under the name Ramalina fraxinea. Its description in RNAcentral is "5.8S ribosomal RNA". It matches the Rfam family "5.8S ribosomal RNA". Rfam says of the family: 5.8S ribosomal RNA (5.8S rRNA) is a component of the large subunit of the eukaryotic ribosome. It is transcribed by RNA polymerase I as part of the 45S precursor that also contains 18S and 28S rRNA. Lineage: Eukaryota; Fungi; Ascomycota; Lecanoromycetes; Lecanorales; Ramalinaceae. The record is from RNAcentral.